This 213-nucleotide non-coding RNA is filed under the name Syntrophobacteraceae bacterium. Lineage: Bacteria; Pseudomonadati; Thermodesulfobacteriota; Syntrophobacteria; Syntrophobacterales; Syntrophobacteraceae. The record is from RNAcentral.
UGCCCAAGUGAGCUUGGCGGUACCCCCUGGGUGUAAAAGGGAAGACGGUGUGAAUCCGUCGCGUUUGGCCGGCGCUGUGAGCGGGGAUGAAAGCCGAGGGUAGCCACUGCCGAGGCUGCGGAACGUCGAGUUCCGAAGGCGGCCUCAGGUGGGAAGGUUCGGCAAGUAAGACGAUCCGUGAGCCAGAAGACCUGCCGUCAAGGAGAGUGCGUG